UAUUCUGCAUAUUAGGUCGACAGUGAUAAAAUAAUAUCUGAUUUGGUAUGCAUGUAAGCAUACAGAUAUAUUAAUAUACAUCUGACGGGAUGGUGAUAAUCCAUACUGCUGGAAUAAGGAUAAAUUUAUGACGAAAAGCCUGUUAACUUUGAUUAAACUACGGUAUUCGGACAGUGGUGAGUGGCGGCUUCACGGUAGUGUAAGGAGCUAACUUAAAGCUUCGAAUUUUUUGCAACUGUGAGGCAUCCCUAGGAGGUAACUGAUAUAUGGAAGGACAUUGAGAUUGGAAUAUAUAAGACCUACACUAGAACAACCUUACCAUGCUGGAGGAGAGGCCCAAUAUCCGCCGACGUGUUGGAUCUGCACGUUCAGGAUUGUCAAGAGUUGGAUCAGCCCGGCCAAGUAGUGGUCGAGUCAGUUCUGCAAGGCCUUCCUCUGACACUCGCCGUCCCAAAUUGCACACUGGUCGGCCAUCUUCAGCACCAGCUCCUAGUAGGCCUUCCUCUGCCCCUCCUCCAGGACGGACUGGGCCCUACCCAGUCAACAGGACUUGUGUUGGGUCUAGCUCUAUCAAGUCUCAUGAUGUAUCACACUUGAACCUAAAGGUGGAAGGGAAGUCGAUUAGGUCUGUGGCCUACACACCACGACGGCAUCAGCCAGUAAGCCGGGGGUCCCUGCGAGUGAUCUCUAGUCACGGGUAUUCUGCAGGAGGAAAGAGAAAACAAUUUUUUUCAAGCCACAAGUCAGGAUCACUUGAGAAACAUGAAUUGGGCAGUGACUCCGAGUCUAGUGGAAUGGGUUUUGGCAGCACUUACACGCUGCCAUUACCAGUGAAUCAGCCUAUAAUAUAUGGAAGUGCUCUGUCGUUUGAACACCCAUAUGCAGACAAGACUGGAGUGGGUUAUGACGCCACGCUUGAAAGAGAUGAAGAAAGGUCGUACAUAGAGAAUAAACUUGGAAGCACAUAUACUCUGAAAAAUACUGUCAGUGUGACUAGUGGUGAGGAAUUUGAGUUCCCUGAUAGGCCAGUGAGAAGAUCUCUUGAAGCGGGAGCAGAGAGAUCAGACAAUCUUUAUCAUCUUCAUAACAGCAGCUAUUUCAACCAGGCAACUGUGGACCAAAGGAAUUUUUCCUCAGACAGAACUGCUGUAAGUGAUAUCCAGAGAGAGUUCAAUGAUUCAGCUUAUAAUAGAAGGUCACAGUUACUUAGCAGUAGAUGUGGGGAUGUAAGGAUAAAGGGCAACAGUUCUCAUGAUGUGCAUCAUAAUGGGGUGAGCUUAUUGAAGAGGGACACGGACACAACUUCUAAUGAUGGCUCAGAAUGUACUGUCAUGAGCCUGGGGCGGAAAAUACAAAUUAUGGCAAGUGCUCAACCAAGCAGACAAUUAGAUCAUGAUAAUAAGGAUGAAAACUGGGACACUGAAUGGAAACAGUUACUUAAGCAGAACCAUGAGUUACUUUUAAGGUUGUCUAGCAGAGAAGAUCUCCGGUCCCCUGAUAACACCCCAGGGUAUGACUAUGAAAAGACAGUGUUGGUUCAUGACAGUGGAGUCCAGACUAGUUUUAUUAAAGAUGCAGAUGAAAAGGGAUCCUUGGAUUGUACUGCAGGUGUAAAAUCUCCUGAACCGGUCAUAUAUUCUGAAUAUGAUGGUGGAGAUGAGCGGUUGCAUUUUCAUAUGGAAGAUAAAAAUCCAGACGAUAAUGAAAGAAGAGAAUCGUAUACAAAUUCAGAAAGCCCUGAGUGUGUCCUCGAAGAUAUCAUUGAAGAAUCAAGUUUAAGUGAUAAAUCAACUCCCAGGAGAUUAGUUAAUAAUUCAGAUGCCAUGGAGGAAACUCAUAAAAAUCCUAACGGGGAUCCAAACCCUAAUGAAAACCUCGUUCAGUCAAGUCCAGAAGAUGUUUCUGAGAGUCGAGAAAUACCGCAGUCUGAAAGCUCUGAAUAUGUGAGUAAAACGUCAGUUGAAAGUCCUGAAAAUCCUCCUCUCACAUUAUUCUCCAGCUCUGCAAAUAUUUCUUGUGCAACUGACCUUCCAACUUAUCGCACAGGUUCAGCCAUAACUUAUGUUGUACGGAGUCGAUUUUCCAGAGAAAGAAUGAAACCUCAGUCUUCAAAAGAUCUACUGGAGGCUCUACAAAUGAUUGAGGAUGAAGAAAAGAAAGAUUCAGAAUCACACGAAACGAAGGACUCUCCAGCAAUCAAAUUAGACGGUGGUACCAGAGAAGAACCUUCAGUGUUUGUCCUUGGUGAUGGCGUUUCUAUGAGUCAUUCGUAUGAGUCCACUGCAUAUGAGGUUGACAGUGGUGCAAAACCUUCCAGCUCAGUUCACAGGACUGUUGGCAGCAAAUCUCUUGAUCUCAAAAAGUCAAGUGUCUCCUUGAUGUCAAAUGAGUGUGAAGCAACACUCCCUGUUCUGCAGGUGUUGGUGGAGAAGGUAUUCCUCUUCACGCAAGACUUGGCUGAACGCUGGAAACAAGGAAAUGCUGAUGAUUGUCGCGAUGAUCUGCUCUACCAACUAGCAGAGGCUGAGAGACUCCUGGAGCAUAUCUGCAUCCAAGAGGGAAGAAAAGAGGACCCCAAGAAAUGUCCUGACCUCCAUACCAAGUGUGAGGAGAAAAUUCGCAAGAAGCAGGAGGAAUCUGAGGCUAGGAUACAGAAAAAUAUUGAGCUAAUACGUAAGUUGAUGGAUGAUAAAAAGCUACUGACGGAGCAGUGUGAACGGAUGCACCGGACUGAGAGACUCGCAGAGAAGAAACAUGCAGAUAAGAUUAAACUUCUUGAGGAAAGACAUUCUCAAGAAAUGAAAAAUUCAAGAGAAAGAGUUCUUGCAUCUGAACAGGAGAAGCGAGAAAAAUGGACCCAGCAGAAGACCAAAGUCAUCAAGGAAACUACAUAUCGAGGACUGGAGACCAAGAUGAAGGACCUGAGUGCCAAACAUAGAGAUGAGGUUAGCCAAUUGAAGGCCCAGCAUUGGGAAGCAAUGAAGGAAACUGAGGAAAAAUUUGUGAGUCAGUUGCGUGCCCAAGAGGAUGAAUUAAAAAAGAAAUAUGAACAGGAGAAAGAAGAGGCAUGCAAGAGGGAGAGGGAACGGGAACAACAGAGAUUGGAAGUGGAGUUGCGACAGAGUGAACAGUUAGCUCUGAGUCGUAUGGAAACAGUUCGCAAGCAGCAUGAGAGAGAUCUGAAGUCACUCAUUGAAGAACAUCAUCGUACUCAAGAAAGAAUUCGCUCCGAAAAUGAGGCUGCAUCGAGAGAUGCUACCAAGGAGAAGGAACGACUUAAAGACGAAUAUGAGAACAAGAUCAGGCUGUUAAUUCGAAGUCAUGAGGAUGAUACAGCUGUUCUUCGCCAAAAAGAUGAAAAGAGUCGAUCUGAGUGGCGGGAACAGUUUUUGAAGGAACACAACGAGGCCCGGUUGCAAGCUGAAAGGGAGCUGCGAGAGAGACUCAAACGACAACGUGACAAAGAGAUUGAGCGAGCGAUAAAGGAGAUCCAGCUGGAGACUAGUACUCGUGAGGAGCAGGACCACAGGGCCUUUGAGAUGAAGAUUAAGAACUUGAGAGAAAGAUAUGAAAAUGAACUAAAUGAGUUGGAAGCAAGUGAGCGAGGUGCCAGAAGCAGAUAUUUAGAAAUGAAGUCCAUUCUGGCCCAGAAAGAGGAAGAGAUUGUGUACUUUAGAGCUCGCCUUCAUACACAAGACCUGGAACUGUGUGAAUUACAACAUAUGUUUCGUCCGCCAGAUGACUAAUUCACUUUAGUUUCAACUGGAUGCAUACAACAUUGUCUGCCAUAGUAUCCGCAGAUUUUUCUUGGCUACCUGUUUAAGGUUGGCCAUAUUUAAAAUAAAAGAAUACGAUAACUUUAGUAUGGUGGUAGAGUAUAAAAUUAAAUGGUGCUAUUAAAAUAGAUGUGACAAACUGGAUGAAUCUGAUGUCCUUGAUCACCAGAAUAAGACAAACCUGAUCCCCUUGUUAAUCACAGUACAGUAAGUGGUUAGGGAUGUUAGAGCCAUUAGGUUAAAUAGAAUUGUAAUGGGGUUUCAACUUUAUUAUUAUUGGCUCUGGUGUGAGACCAUGUGUUGUAAAGCUGUUUGAUGGUACAGGUUGACAACCCUUUAUCCGAAAUUCUGAAAACCGAAAGUUUUUUGUGGAGCUUUUUUUUUUUUUACAGGGAUUAG
This 4175-nucleotide unclassified non-coding RNA is filed under the name Homarus americanus (American lobster). Its description in RNAcentral is "centrosomal protein of 131 kDa-like, transcript variant X3". Lineage: Eukaryota; Metazoa; Arthropoda; Malacostraca; Decapoda; Nephropidae. The record is from RNAcentral.